This 374-nucleotide ribosomal RNA is filed under the name uncultured fungus. RNAcentral describes it as "SSU rRNA". It matches the Rfam family "Eukaryotic small subunit ribosomal RNA", at positions 191 to 583 of the family's 1831-position model. Lineage: Eukaryota; Fungi. The record is from RNAcentral.
AUUGGAAGGGGUGUAUUUAUUAGAUAAAAAUCAACUUUGUUGGUGAAUCAUAAUAACUUCUCGGACCGCAUGGCCUCGUGCUGGCGGUGCUUCAUUCAAAUAUCUGCCCUAUCAACUGUCGAUGGUAGGAUAGAGGCCUACCAUGGUUGCAACGGGUAACGGGGAAUAAGGGUUCGAUUCCGGAGAGGGAGCCUGAGAAACGGCUACCACAUCCAAGGAAGGCAGCAGGCGCGCAAAUUACCCAAUCCCAACACGGGGAGGUAGUGACAAUAUGUAACAAUAUACGGCCUUAUACGUCGUAUAAUUGGAAUGAGUACAAUUUAAAUCCCUUAACGAGGAACAAUUGGAGGGCAAGUCUGGUGCCAGCAGCCAAU